CAGAGUAAGGCUGUGCGCGUCAAGUGCCGCAUCAACGGGGAGUUGUGCUGCGGACGAAGGGGGAAUGGCCCCCGCGGUGUGCAGCCUGCAUCCCGCUGC
Molecule: non-coding RNA, 99 nt
Filed under: uncultured Faecalibacterium sp.
Lineage: Bacteria; Bacillati; Bacillota; Clostridia; Eubacteriales; Oscillospiraceae
Description: THF riboswitch
Rfam family: THF (Tetrahydrofolate) riboswitch aptamer
About the family: THF riboswitch presents a pseudoknot that joins P1-P2 and the loop of P3 and two THF binding.
Source: RNAcentral